GAGAGAGAGAGAGAGAGAGAGAGAGAGAGAGCGAAAGAGAGUGGCCUAGGCUAACCUAAUCAUUCUCCCUGCCAUGACAACCUUCUUCCUGGAACAGACUACGAUGAGUUUAUUUCCCCUUGCACAAUUUACCAAAUUUCACAACCAAUCAAGCAGAAUCUCGCUUCCUGAGAAAGAAACAUACCUAAGCAGAAACAACAGUGACAGCACCAUCAACAAAAAAGGAAGGGAUCUUCUGCAGCUUUGUCGAAGCCUGGGUCUGUACUUUGUCAAUGGAACAGGAACUGGACCUCACUGACAGCAGAAACUGGACCUCACUGACAGCAGAAACUGGACCUCACUGACAGAACAGAGGAGGAAGCGUCUACAGAGCAUCACCUCAUGGGACGUGUUAAGCUCAUGACCAGACACAUGGAGGAUAAUGGCUCCCCUCAUGUUAAGCUCAUGACCAGACACAUGGAGGAUAAUGGCUCCCCUCAUGUUAAGCUCAUGACCAGACACAUGGAGGAUAAUGGCUCCCCUCAUGUUAAGCUCAUGACCAGACACAUGGAGGAUAACGGAUAAUGAGGGGUCAUGGUCUAAUGAGGAAGCCAUUGUAGUGUAUUGGAUUAUGUCUGUGUUAAAUGUUUUUCAUGAAGAAAUGGAAUGUUGUUUCAUUUAGUGCAAGAAGGGGGGAUGUUUUAUGAUGUUAUUUGAAAUGUGCCGUUUUGAGGGUGACGCCCGAGGGGAGACUGGUGAUUGGCUAGAA
Molecule: long non-coding RNA, 748 nt
Organism: Coregonus clupeaformis (lake whitefish)
Lineage: Eukaryota; Metazoa; Chordata; Actinopteri; Salmoniformes; Salmonidae
Exons: 4
Source: RefSeq, a predicted model, not a curated record